UUGCAGGAGAUCCCUCCAGCAUUAACUUUCCAACACAAUCAUCAAGUUCACUUGAUCAGCAGAGCACAUUUUCUGCAGCUCCCACUGGUGCUGGAGAUCAGCUUGAAAUCAUCCUCCAUACAAAUUUCACAGACUCAAGGGAUCCAAAUGUGACAAGUUUACAAACAGACUUCCCAGGUACUGUUGAAGAGUUUACUCCUGGACCAGAAUUAAAAG
Long non-coding RNA from Erpetoichthys calabaricus (reedfish), 216 nucleotides. RefSeq lists it as uncharacterized. Lineage: Eukaryota; Metazoa; Chordata; Cladistia; Polypteriformes; Polypteridae. The transcript is spliced from 5 exons. The record is from RefSeq and is a predicted model, not a curated record.